RNAcentral lists this ribosomal RNA (468 nucleotides) under uncultured bacterium. Its description in RNAcentral is "partial 16S ribosomal RNA". It matches the Rfam family "Bacterial small subunit ribosomal RNA", at positions 28 to 507 of the family's 1533-position model. The record is from RNAcentral.
GACGAACGCUGGCGGCGUGCUUAACACAUGCAAGUCGAACGGAAAGGCCCUGCUUUUGUGGGGUGCUCGAGUGGCGAACGGGUGAGUAACACGUGAGUAACCUGCCCUUGACUUUGGGAUAACUUCAGGAAACUGGGGCUACUACCGGAUAGGAGCUCCUGCUGCAUGGUGGGGGUUGGACAGUUUCGGCGGGUGGGGAUGGACUCGCGGCUUAUCAGCUUGUUGGUGGGGUAGUGGCUUACCAAGGCUUUGACGGGUAGCCGGCCUGAGAGGGUGGCCGGCCACAUUGGGACUGAGAUACGGCCCAGACUCCUACGGGAGGCAGCAGGGGGGAAUAUUGCACAAUCGGCGGAAGCCUGAUGCAGCAACGCCGCGUGCGGGAUGACGGCCUUCGGGUUGUAAACCGCUUUCGCCUGUGACGAAGCGUGAGUGACGGUAAUGGGUAAAGAAGCACCGGCUAACUACGUG